Molecule: ribosomal RNA, 820 nt
Filed under: uncultured Actinobacillus sp.
Lineage: Bacteria; Pseudomonadati; Pseudomonadota; Gammaproteobacteria; Pasteurellales; Pasteurellaceae
Description: bacterial SSU rRNA
Rfam family: Bacterial small subunit ribosomal RNA
Source: RNAcentral
CGGACGGGUGAGUAAUGCUUGGGAAUCUGGCUUAUGGAGGGGGAUAACUACGGGAAACUGUAGCUAAUACCGCGUAAUAUCUUCGGAUUAAAGGGUGGGACUUUCGGGCCACCUGCCAUAAGAUGAGCCCAAGUGGGAUUAGGUAGUUGGUGGGGUAAAGGCCUACCAAGCCGACGAUCUCUAGCUGGUCUGAGAGGAUGACCAGCCACACUGGAACUGAGACACGGUCCAGACUCCUACGGGAGGCAGCAGUGGGGAAUAUUGCACAAUGGGGGGAACCCUGAUGCAGCCAUGCCGCGUGAACGAAGAAGGCCUUCGGGUUGUAAAGUUCUUUCGGUGAUGAGGAAGGUGUUUGUUUUAAUAGAGCAAGCAAUUGACGUUAGUCACAGAAGAAGCACCGGCUAACUCCGUGCCAGCAGCCGCGGUAAUACGGAGGGUGCGAGCGUUAAUCGGAAUGACUGGGCGUAAAGGGCACGCAGGCGGUGACUUAAGUGAGAUGUGAAAGCCCCGAGCUUAACUUGGGAAUUGCAUUUCAUACUGGGUCGCUAGAGUACUUUAGGGAGGGGUAGAAUUCCACGUGUAGCGGUGAAAUGCGUAGAGAUGUGGAGGAAUACCGAAGGCGAAGGCGGCCCCUUGGGAAUGUACUGACGCUCAUGUGCGAAAGCGUGGGGAGCAAACAGGAUUAGAUACCCUGGUAGUCCACGCUGUAAACGCUGUCGAUUUGGGGAUUGGGCUUUAAGCUUGGUGCCCGUAGCUAACGUGAUAAAUCGACCGCCUGGGGAGUACGGCCGCAAGGUUAAAACUCAAAUGAAUUGACGGG